RNAcentral lists this ribosomal RNA (406 nucleotides) under uncultured bacterium. Its description in RNAcentral is "partial 16S ribosomal RNA". It matches the Rfam family "Bacterial small subunit ribosomal RNA", at positions 30 to 526 of the family's 1533-position model. The record is from RNAcentral.
AUUGAACGCUGGCGGCAGGCCUAACACAUGCAAGUCGAACGAGUGGCGGACGGGUGCGUAAUGUCUGGGAAACUGCCUGAUGGAGGGGGAUAACUACUGGAAACGGUAGCUAAUACCGCAUACCAUCAGAUGUGCCCAGAUGGGAUUAGCUUGUUGGUGGGGUAACGGCUCACCGAGGCGACGAUCCCUAGCUGGGCUGAGCGGAUGACCAGCCACACUGGAACUGAGACACGGUCCAGACUCCUACGGGAGGCAGCAGUGGGGAAUAUUGCACAAUGGGCGCAAGCCGGAUGCAGCCAUGCCGCGUGUAUGAAGAAGGCCUUCGGGUUGUAAAGUACUUUCAGCGGGGAGGCGUGACUCGCAGAAGAAGCACCGGCUAACUCCGUGCCAGCAGCCGCGGUAAUAC